UAUAAUCAUAUAUGAAUUUGAGAAAAUAAAAACUUCAAAUUAUAUUUUCAAGAAAAAUAAUUGCAUCAAGAAAAUAAUUGAUAUAAAGAAAACAUCCAAGAAAGAAAACAUUCCAUCAUCAGUUUAACAGCACCAUCUACGCAAUAGCAAAUACAAAAGCAAGCGGGAACAAACGUUUAUUUAAAAAUAGUGAUCCCGUGCAUCGAAUGUUAGAAUAAAUGGAACCAUUAGCUACACAGCAAAAAAUAGAAGCGGUGGUAAGUAUUUUGUUUAUCUUUUCCGUGUUUAAUUUUUCCACAAUACCCAUGAAUGUUGUUUAUGUUUUAGAAUGUGGAUAUGGAUCAAGAUACCAUUCUUUUCAUGAUAAGUUUGAUCGAAGAAAGAAGCUGCAUAUGGAACCGAAAAAAUUCAGGCUUUCAAAAUAAAACCAAACAGCAUGACGCAUGGCGUGAAAUUAGUGUAAUUUUAGACACACCUGUCGACUGUUUGGUGAGGAAAUGGAAGUCACUUUGUGGCUCUUUCCGUUUCUACCAUGCAAAGGAACAAAAAAGUAAAGUGACUGGUUCAUCUUCAUCGAGCAUAUAUAAACCAAAAUGGUUUGCAUACAGAGCAAUGCAUUUUAUGCAUCAUGUUAAGGAAACUGCAUCAACAAUGGACACCCUCUUUCGGACUAUUCAAACCGCAUAACUGAGUUCGACAGAUAUCCUUCUGAAGAUUGGCUAAAGCAGAGAAACGGUAAUUUUCUCAAUUUCUUGUUUAUAGAAUCAACAUAAAUAUAGUGGAGCAUCGUUUAUCCAGGUACCUUUCAUACGGUUGUCCGUGUAUUUGUGCUAUUUAGAAAUGACAGCUCAAUACAAAAUUGGCAUCCUUUGCAAGAUGGGAAGGAACUGGCCAUCAUCAUCAUCAUCAAACCCUUUUACAUCACACCAAGAGACUUCAGACAUAGAAAUACCUAUAUUUCUGGAUCCAAAUUCUCCAAUAGACGUCAGGGCUACUAUUACGCCAGAUAAUUUAGAACAAACUGCUGAAUUGGGGGUUUUACCAAAUACUCCAAUACAAAACAUACAACACCCAGUUAUGUCGGAGUCGUCAACAAGAAUAUCAAUCAGUAAUAUACUAAACAACCAACCAUCCAUACAACAGUUAACGCAGGAAGCUCGGACACAAUCAUCUACUCCACCAUCUUCGGUUUCACAAACAUCCCGAUUGCAGCCUUCCGAACCAUCAAACCGUCGAAAUCGUCGAAAUUGAAAUGUCUACUGCAUUUUUACAAAUGAUGAAGAGAGUUCCAGCCGAAAGAAGACAAAAUACUUUUGGGAAGGUCCAGGAAGUAUUUGCAAAUACAUACAACCAUGACGAAGACGUAUUGAAGUAUGGAAGGGCGCUGUGCAACUUGCUACAGUUGAUGGACUCUUCAAACAGAAAAGAAACUUUCAACCAACUUCUAAGAAUUAUAAAUGAUCGUUUAGGUGAAUAUUAAGUUUGAUGAAUUAAACUUAGAAUUAAUUCAUAAUUUAGAAUUAAAAAUGAAAUAUAAAUAAAAUUGAACUUUGCAGUAACACUAUGUUGCUUAACACAUGCUUACCUGAACAAAUUCGCUAAGUGCAGUUAUAAUGGCCUUACAUACUUGAUGAAUAAUACGACUAAUUGAUCUAACAGACACCUGAAAUAAAAUUAUGAACUUGCUACUUGCUAUGAACUGUGCUGAUUGUUCUUUUAUUUCUUACCUGGAACAAAUAAUGAAGACUUGCAAAGCUAUCACCUGUCGCAAGGUAUCUUAAAGUUAUUAAGAGCCUUUCUUUAGGAGUAA
This is an RNA transcript of Anopheles merus, 1810 nucleotides long. RefSeq lists it as uncharacterized. The record is from RefSeq and is a predicted model, not a curated record. The transcript has 5 exons. Lineage: Eukaryota; Metazoa; Arthropoda; Insecta; Diptera; Culicidae.